GUGCUCGCUUCGGCAGCACAUAUACUAAAAUUGGAAACGAUACAGAGAUUAGCAUGGCCCUGCGCAAGGAUGAC
This 74-nucleotide small nuclear RNA is filed under the name Octodon degus (degu). The record is from RNAcentral. Lineage: Eukaryota; Metazoa; Chordata; Mammalia; Rodentia; Octodontidae.